Molecule: ribosomal RNA, 413 nt
Filed under: uncultured bacterium
Lineage: Bacteria
Description: bacterial SSU rRNA
Rfam family: Bacterial small subunit ribosomal RNA
Source: RNAcentral
CAGUGGGGAAUAUUGGACAAUGGGCGGAAGCCUGAUCCAGCCAUGCCGCGUGAGUGAUGAAGGCCUUAGGGUUGUAAAGCUCUUUCAGUGGGGAAGAUAAUGACGGUACCCACAGAAGAAGCCCCGGCUAACUUCGUGCCAGCAGCCGCGGUAAUACGAAGGGGGCUAGCGUUGUUCGGAUGUACUGGGCGUAAAGCGCACGUAGGCGGAUUGUUAAGUCGGGGGUGAAAUCCUGGAGCUCAACUCCAGAACUGCCUUCGAUACUGGCAAUCUCGAGUCCGGAAGAGGUGAGUGGAACUCCUAGUGUAGAGGUGGAAUUCGUAGAUAUUAGGAAGAACCCCAGUGGCGAAGGCGGCCCACUUGGCCCGUACUGACGCUUAGGCGCGAAAGCGUGGGGAGCAAACAGGAGUAGA